ACGGGAGGCAGCAGUGGGGAAUAUUGGACAAUGGGGGAAACCCUGAUCCAGCGACGCCGCGUGAGUGAAGAAGUAUUUCGGUAUGUAAAGCUCUAUCAGCAGGGAAGAUAAUGACGGUACCUGACUAAGAAGCCCCGGCUAACUACGUGCCAGCAGCCGCGGUAAUACGUAGGGGGCAAGCGUUAUCCGGAUUUACUGGGUGUAAAGGGAGCGUAGACGGAAGGCCAAGUCUGAUGUGAAAACCCAGGGCUCAACCCUGGGACUGCAUUGGAAACUGGUCAUCUAGAGUGCAGGAGGGGUAAGCGGAAUUCCUAGUGUAGCGGUGAAAUGCGUAGAUAUUAGGAGGAACACCAGUGGCGAAGGCGGCUUACUGGACUGUAACUGACGUUGAGGCUCGAAAGCGUGGGGAGCAAACAGGAUUAGAUACCCUGGUA
RNAcentral lists this ribosomal RNA (434 nucleotides) under uncultured Lachnospiraceae bacterium. Its description in RNAcentral is "partial 16S ribosomal RNA". It matches the Rfam family "Bacterial small subunit ribosomal RNA", at positions 341 to 792 of the family's 1533-position model. The record is from RNAcentral. Lineage: Bacteria; Bacillati; Bacillota; Clostridia; Lachnospirales; Lachnospiraceae.